GACUAAACUGUCUCUUAUGGGCAUUCAAUGAAACUGAUCUCUCAGUCCAAAAGCUGAAAUAGCUACACUAGACGAGAAGACCCUGUGGAGCUUCCAAACCGAUACUAACACUCAUAGUCAUGCGGUUUUUAGUUGGGGCGACUUCGGAGAACAAAAAAACCUCCAACUAGGAAAUAUUCCUGAUUAAGAUCAACACAUCUAAAUAUUAAACUUGACCCAGUAGGCAUUACCCCCAUCUGAUCAAGGAACCAAGUUACCCCAGGGAUAACAGCGCUAUCCUCUUUUAGAGUCCCUAUCGACAAGAGGG
Molecule: ribosomal RNA, 307 nt
Filed under: Ophisops elegans (snake-eyed lizard)
Lineage: Eukaryota; Metazoa; Chordata; Lepidosauria; Squamata; Lacertidae
Description: partial 16S ribosomal RNA
Rfam family: Bacterial large subunit ribosomal RNA
Source: RNAcentral